GUCACAAAUGUCAUCAAGGGAAUAACAGCUUCCUGCCAGCCAAAGAGAGAGCAUCCUUCCCUCAAGAAUCUGUAAAGCUGUGUAAAUCUCUGAGUCUGUAAAGCAUUUUCCACCCCUGACGUCUCAGGGGUAGAACACAUGCCAGUGACUAGCACUAUCACAUGAGGGCAGUGAUUCUCAAUUCCCUAUUGAAUGCGAAUUCUUAACGGCAGGGACUUUCACCCGUUCCUCCCUUACUCUGUGCUGGACGACCGCGCACAGUGGGCAACCCCAGCCGUUCUUCAAUGAGCGCAUUAUACUCCAGUGGAAGAGUGGACAGUCUUCUCCCACACCAGCCAGCUAAACACUAAUGUGAAGAGGGGAUGAACAGGUGCAGUGAGCUAGCACGGAGUCAUUGUGGUGAGGACCAAAGAAGAGGCAGGAGCAGUGUCCCGGGUGAGUCGCAGUCCCACAUGCCUGGGAAGGACACAGCCUGUACUCCCAUCCUGACACUGUCCCUGGGAGUAAGCGAGAAGCAGGACACAGGUAAAAGCACAAAUCCUCUGGUGCAAGUGGAAUGGGACCCUUCACUGUUCAUCCACCUCAUUUCAGUGGAAGUCCCUCAGUACUCUAGAACUUUAGAAUACAGAUUUUAAAAAACAGUGACUUAUAGAUUUGUCAGAGCCUCUUCUACCUCUAAAAAUUGAGCAAUUAAAAAGGUUAUUAAAUAAGCACAGUAAUUAUUUUAAAAACUUUCACAGCCAGUGCUAAAGGCUAGGGAUAAACAUAAAAACCUGUCUCCUGGUUUUCAUAAAGCUUCUUGUUAAUGAGAAAGAAGGACAGAUAAAAAUAGAAUGCAAUCUACAUUAAGAUCUAUAUUCUGGGAACUUAAAUAGGUUUACAUGUUAUUUGUGAAAAUUAGCUAUAGUCUAAAUGUAAGCAUAGAUACUUAAUACCAUUUGAUUGUUUUUUUACAGCAUUUUAUGAAAGCAGUGAUGAUUUAAACUUUGUAAUGGGCCAUAUAAAGUCUGUAAACAAUCUAAAUGUCCACUGAUG
This is a long non-coding RNA of Acinonyx jubatus (cheetah), 1035 nucleotides long. RefSeq lists it as uncharacterized. The transcript is spliced from 2 exons. NCBI's taxonomy places the organism in Eukaryota, Metazoa, Chordata, Mammalia, Carnivora, Felidae. The record is from RefSeq and is a predicted model, not a curated record.